GUACCAACUUGUCACCUUAUGUGUGCUAGCCUCUUGAACACGUAGGCUCAUGCUGACCUAACCCCUCCCAGGCCAAGAGGCAUAAGGCCCACACCGCCUCCACACUACAAAACUUAAGCCAACUUACUUCAUCAUAGGAGGCAAUGGGCCAAGAAGGCAACACAACAGGCUAUGCAACACCUCUCCUCUAUCACAGAUAAACAUAAUAGCCUGCAACUCACCAUUUUACACUAUAAAAAAUGUGCUGUGCUUUUACUGCCAUGCCGUUGUUUGUGUUAUAUUGAACUAUAUAUGCUUGCUUCUGCUGUCAUGGCAGCGCAUGUGAUGUUGUUAUACCAUGCACAACAAAAAUUAAAAAAAAUCCAAGUAAUCUUUAUUGAAUUAACAUUUUACACAUUUGGCAGAAUCUUGAGUAGGGUUUAGACUC
This is a non-coding RNA of Pelobates cultripes (western spadefoot toad), 427 nucleotides long. NCBI's taxonomy places the organism in Eukaryota, Metazoa, Chordata, Amphibia, Anura, Pelobatidae. The record is from the annotation of a GenBank genome assembly.